UGUGCAGGCGGUGCCACAAGUGGUGUAUGAAAGUGCCCGGCUCAACCGGGAGAGGUUAUGCCAGACUGUGGCUCUAGAGUGCGAGAGAGGGGCGUGGAAUUCCGGGUGUAGUGGUGAAAUGCGUAGAGAUCCGGAGGAACCCCAGAGGCGAAGGCGGCGCCCUGGCUCGCAACUGACGCUCAGCCACGACAGCAUGGGGAGCGAACAGGAUUAGAAACCCCGGUAGUCCAUGCCGUAAACGAUGCAAACUAGGCGCUGGCGGUCUCAACCCCGCCGGUGCCGUAGCUAACGCGCUAAGUUUGCCGCCUGGGGAGUACGGCCGCAAGGCUAAA
RNAcentral lists this ribosomal RNA (332 nucleotides) under uncultured bacterium. Its description in RNAcentral is "bacterial SSU rRNA". It matches the Rfam family "Bacterial small subunit ribosomal RNA", at positions 568 to 898 of the family's 1533-position model. The record is from RNAcentral.